AUACGGGGUUAUUAGAACUCCACUAACCUGGGGAGGUUAGGCAUCCAAAUGGGUAGCAGCGGCACCCUUCUGGAGAGACGGUCCAGAGGCCGGGUUGUCAGACCCGGUCGGGAGCCGUUUC
This 121-nucleotide non-coding RNA is filed under the name unclassified sequences. Its description in RNAcentral is "LAGLIDADG-2 RNA". It matches the Rfam family "LAGLIDADG-2 RNA". Rfam says of the family: Halobacteria (Archaea). Nearby to self-splicing intron genes The record is from Rfam by way of RNAcentral.